UCACUAUCCAGCUCUAUUUUAACUGGACAUACAUUAAUUUUGGUCAUGUCGAGUCUGUUUUGCCUGAGACAGUAACUGUUACAGUGAGAGUGGAUGAUGCAGCAAAGCAGAAGUAGAAGGCUGAUGCGAGAGUAGGAGAAGGGAAAAAAUAACUUCUUUGGCGAAGUUCAUGCUUUCAUGCUCGCUGAUUUUCCUCGUGGUGCUCUCUGAAUGAGCCGGCUCCUCUCCCUGAUGACACUGGCCUGCUCUGAAGAACUUUGAGUCGUCGUGGCCGUCCUCGCCUGGCGCUGUGCUUGGGGUGGGGAUUGCUACAGCCCUGUGCUGAGCUGGGGCACCCACAUGGUCUCUGCAGAUCCGUGCCUCUACGCCGCAUUUCCCUUUGCAGAGCCACUUGCCAGCUUUCUUGGAGCACUUCGAUAUUAUAGAUGAAAGGUUCAGUGCCAUGGUUUCUUUGCACUUGUUGAACAAUUUUUCUCCCAAGUAUUCGUCUUGUCAGUCUGCACAUUUCUGAUCUUGAAAGAGGUGAGCAGUGAGGCUGCGGCUUUGCAUACAGCCUCUGCUCUGCUGGGCAGUUCCAUCAUCCAUCAUCAAAUAUACUCCUGCCUA
Long non-coding RNA from Cygnus olor (mute swan), 606 nucleotides. RefSeq lists it as uncharacterized. The record is from RefSeq and is a predicted model, not a curated record. NCBI's taxonomy places the organism in Eukaryota, Metazoa, Chordata, Aves, Anseriformes, Anatidae. The transcript is spliced from 4 exons.